GUUUUUGAAGUGUUAAUAAUGGCACGUUAGGUUUUCAUCCUAAAAGUGUAGAGCUUAUCUACUAAAAAUACC
This 72-nucleotide transfer RNA is filed under the name Monodonta labio. Its description in RNAcentral is "tRNA-Glu". The record is from RNAcentral. Lineage: Eukaryota; Metazoa; Mollusca; Gastropoda; Trochida; Trochidae.